AUGGAGCUGUUUGAUGAGGCGGCUGGGCUGAGAACCAACAUGAGCAAAUCAACAACUCUACCCAUAAGGUCUUCCGAGGAGGAGAUAACAAUGACAUGCAAUGCCCUCCAGUGCUCUUUGGGAUCCUUCCUAAUAAAAUAUCUCGGGUUGCCACUAUCGCUUAGAAAGCAAUCAGCAUCACAACUACAAUACUUGGUUGACCAUAUGGCCAAUAGACUACCAAGGUGGAAGGCAUCACUAAUGCCGAAGAGUGACAGUCUAACUCUGGUGCAAUCUGUGCUAUGCGCCAUGUCAAUUAAUGCAAUGAUGGCAGUACUGGAUCUCCCUAUGAAAACUAUCGCGACCAUGAACACGAUUUGUUGA
This 363-nucleotide ribosomal RNA is filed under the name Triticum aestivum (bread wheat). Its description in RNAcentral is "partial small subunit ribosomal RNA". The record is from RNAcentral. Lineage: Eukaryota; Viridiplantae; Streptophyta; Magnoliopsida; Poales; Poaceae.